Molecule: ribosomal RNA, 342 nt
Filed under: Collessius tonkinensis
Lineage: Eukaryota; Metazoa; Arthropoda; Insecta; Diptera; Culicidae
Description: eukaryotic LSU rRNA
Rfam family: Eukaryotic large subunit ribosomal RNA
Source: RNAcentral
UUGCGCGCGAGCCAAUGGUCGUCCCCCCGGAACACCAAAGGCGCAAAAAACAUAACUUGACGAUGUGCGGGAUUACGGGCGCGGCUCUCCGCGGCGUCCCUCCAUCCCCGGGUGUUGUAGCCGGCAUGCGGUCGGUGGCUCCUCGUGGGCCGCCACCGUGCCACAACAUACCGAGAGCGUGCAGGAUGUGACCCGAAAGAUGGUGAACUAUGCCUGAUCAGGUUGAAGUCAGGGGAAACCCUGAUGGAGGACCGAAGCAGUUCUGACGUGCAAAUCGAUUGUCAGAAUUGGGCAUAGGGGCGAAAGACCAAUCGAACCAUCUAGUAGCUGUUUUCCUUCCGA